This 496-nucleotide ribosomal RNA is filed under the name uncultured bacterium. RNAcentral's name for it is "partial 16S ribosomal RNA". It matches the Rfam family "Bacterial small subunit ribosomal RNA", at positions 29 to 507 of the family's 1533-position model. The record is from RNAcentral.
AUGCACGCUGGCGGCGUGCCUAAUACAUGCAAGUCGAGCGAACAGACGAGGAGCUUGCUCCUCUGACGUUAGCGGCGGACGGGUGAGUAACACGUGGAUAACCUACCUAUAAGACUGGGAUAACUUCGGGAAACCGGAGCUAAUACCGGAUAAUAUAUUGAACCGCAUGGUUCAAUAGUGAAAGACGGUUUUGCUGUCACUUAAAGAUGGAUCCGCGCCGCAUUAGCUAGUUGGUAAGGUAACGGCUUACCAAGGCAACGAUGCGUAGCCGACCUGAGAGGGUGAUCGGCCACACUGGAACUGAGACACGGUCCAGACUCCUACGGGAGGCAGCAGUAGGGAAUCUUCCGCAAUGGGCGAAAGCCUGACGGAGCAACGCCGCGUGAGUGAUGAAGGUCUUCGGAUCGUAAAACUCUGUUAUUAGGGAAGAACAAAUGUGUAAGUAACUAUGCACGUCUUGACGGUACCUAAUCAGAAAGCCACGGCUAACUACGUG